UACGAAGGUGGCAAGCGUUAUUCGGAAUUACUGGGCAUAAAGGGCCCGCAGGCGGCCCGGCAAGUUGAUGGUGAAAAUCCCCCGGCUCAACUGGGAACGGGCCGUCAAUACUACCGGGCGUCGAGUGUUGGAGGGGUGAGUGGAAUUCCUGGUGGAGCGGUGGAAUGCGUAGAUAUCAGGAGGAACGCCGGAGGCGAAAGCG
This 202-nucleotide ribosomal RNA is filed under the name uncultured bacterium. RNAcentral's name for it is "partial 16S ribosomal RNA". It matches the Rfam family "Bacterial small subunit ribosomal RNA", at positions 524 to 723 of the family's 1533-position model. The record is from RNAcentral.